GACGAACGCUGGCGGCGUGCCUAAUACAUGCAAGUCGAGCGGGGAUUAUGCUUGAUCGCUUCGGUGAGACGGCAUAUAUCCUAGCGGCGGACGGGUGAGUAACGCGUGGGUAAUCUACCUCGUAGUUCGGGAUAACAGGCCGAAAGGCUUGCUAAUACCGGAUGAGUUCAUGCUUAUGCAUAUAGGCAUGAAGAAAGGGCUAGCCCGCUAUGAGAUGAGCCCGCGUCCCAUUAGCUUGUUGGUGGGGUAAUGGCCUACCAAGGCAACGAUGGGUAGCCGGCCUGAGAGGGUGUACGGCCACACUGGGACUGAGACACGGCCCAGACUCCUACGGGGGGCAGCAGUAGGGAAUUUUCGGCAAUGGGCGAAAGCCUGACCGAGCGACGCCGCGUGAGGGACGAAGGCCUUCGGGUUGUAAACCUCUGUCUGGGGGGAUGAGAACGGACGGUACCCCCGGAGGAAGCCUCGGCUAACUACGUG
This 480-nucleotide ribosomal RNA is filed under the name uncultured bacterium. RNAcentral describes it as "bacterial SSU rRNA". It matches the Rfam family "Bacterial small subunit ribosomal RNA", at positions 28 to 507 of the family's 1533-position model. The record is from RNAcentral.